AUAUUGGGCAAUGGACGGAAGUCUGACCCAGCCAUGCCGCGUGCAGGAAGACGGCCUUCUGGGUUGUAAACUGCUUUUAUACGGGAAUAAACCUACCCUCGAGAGGGUAGCUGAAUGUACCGUAAGAAUAAGGAUCGGCUAACUCCGUGCCAGCAGCCGCGGUAAUACGGAGGAUCCAAGCGUUAUCCGGAUUUAUUGGGUUUAAAGGGAGCGUAGGCGGCCUAUUAAGUCAGGGGUGAAAGACGGCAGCUUAACUGUCGCAGUGCCUUUGAUACUGAUAGGCUUGAAUGUAGUUGAGGUGGGCGGAAUGUGACAAGUAGCGGUGAAAUGCAUAGAUAUGUCACAGAACACCGAUUGCGAAGGCAGCUCACUAAGCUAUGAUUGACGCUGAGGCUCGAAAGCGUGGGGAUCAAACAGG
This 418-nucleotide ribosomal RNA is filed under the name uncultured bacterium. Its description in RNAcentral is "bacterial SSU rRNA". It matches the Rfam family "Bacterial small subunit ribosomal RNA", at positions 361 to 776 of the family's 1533-position model. The record is from RNAcentral.